GACGAACGCUGGCGGCGUGCCUAAUACAUGCAAGUAGAACGCUGAAGAGAGGAGCUUGCUCUUCUUGGAUGAGUUGCGAACGGGUGAGUAACGCGUAGGUAACCUGCCUUGUAGCGGGGGAUAACUAUUGGAAACGAUAGCUAAUACCGCAUAACAAUGGAUGACACAUGUCAUUUAUUGAAAGGGGCAAUUGCUCCACUACAAGAUGGACCUGCGUUGUAUUAGCUAGUAGGUGAGGUAAUGGCUCACCUAGGCGACGAUACAUAGCCGACCUGAGAGGGUGAUCGGCCACACUGGGACUGAGACACGGCCCAGACUCCUACGGGAGGCAGCAGUAGGGAAUCUUCGGCAAUGGGGGCAACCCCCGACGAGCAACGCCGCGUGAGUGAAGAAGGUUUUCGGAUCGUAAAGCUCUGUUGUUAGAGAAGAACGUGUGUGAGAGUGGAAAAGUUCG
This 454-nucleotide ribosomal RNA is filed under the name uncultured bacterium. RNAcentral's name for it is "bacterial SSU rRNA". It matches the Rfam family "Bacterial small subunit ribosomal RNA", at positions 28 to 466 of the family's 1533-position model. The record is from RNAcentral.